Molecule: non-coding RNA, 132 nt
Filed under: uncultured Blautia sp.
Lineage: Bacteria; Bacillati; Bacillota; Clostridia; Lachnospirales; Lachnospiraceae
Description: FMN riboswitch (RFN element)
Rfam family: FMN riboswitch aptamer (RFN element)
About the family: The RFN element is a highly conserved domain that is found frequently in the 5'-untranslated regions of prokaryotic mRNAs that encode for flavin mononucleotide (FMN) biosynthesis and transport proteins.
Source: RNAcentral
UUUCUUCGGGGCAGGGUGACUGGAUCUGGAUAAGAGAACAGAAUUCCCUACCGGCGGUAUAGUCCGCGAGCCGCUUGGGCGGUUGAUUUGGUGAAAUUCCAAAACCGACAGUAUAGUCUGGAUGAGAGAAGA